This 985-nucleotide ribosomal RNA is filed under the name human gut metagenome. RNAcentral describes it as "bacterial LSU rRNA". It matches the Rfam family "Bacterial large subunit ribosomal RNA", at positions 1945 to 2925 of the family's 2925-position model. The record is from RNAcentral.
ACCAUCCUAAGGUAGCGAAAUUCCUUGUCGGGUAAGUUCCGACCUGCACGAAUGGAGUAACGACUUCCCUACUGUCUCAACCAUGAACUCGGCGAAAUUGCAGUACGAGUAAAGAUGCUCGUUUCGCGCAGCAGGACGGAAAGACCCCGUGACCUUUACUAUAGUUUGGUAUUGGUGUUUGGUUUGGCUUGUGUAGGAUAGGUGGGAGACUGUGAAGCAUGGACGCUAGUUUGUGUGGAGUCGUUGUUGAAAUACCACUCUGGUCAAUCUGGAUGUCUAACUUCGGGCCAUGAUCUGGUUCAGGGACAGUGCCUGAUGGGUAGUUUAACUGGGGCGGUUGCCUCCUAAAGUGUAACGGAGGCGCCCAAAGGUUCCCUCAGCCUGGUUGGCAAUCAGGUGUUGAGUGUAAGUGCACAAGGGAGCUUGACUGUGAGACUGGCAGGUCGAGCAGGGACGAAAGUCGGGACUAGUGAUCCGGCGGUACGUUGUGGAACGGCCGUCGCUCAACGGAUAAAAGGUACCUCGGGGAUAACAGGCUGAUCUUGCCCAAGAGUCCAUAUCGACGGCAUGGUUUGGCACCUCGAUGUCGGCUCGUCGCAUCCUGGGGCUGGAGUCGGUCCCAAGGGUUGGGCUGUUCGCCCAUUAAAGCGGUACGCGAGCUGGGUUCAGAACGUCGUGAGACAGUUCGGUCCCUAUCCGCUGCGCGCGUUGGAAAUUUGAGAAAGGCUGUCCUUAGUACGAGAGGACCGGGACGGACGAACCUCUGGUAUGUCAGUUGUACCGCCAGGUGCAUGGCUGAUUGGCUACGUUCGGGAGGGAUAACCGCUGAAAGCAUCUAAGCGGGAAGCCUGUUUCGAGAUGAGAUUUCCUGGCACUUUGGUGUGUGAGGCUCCUUAUAGAUGAUGAGGUUGAUAGGCCGGGUAUGGAAGCGGGGACUGAAGACUCGUGGAGUUGACUGGUACUAAUAGGCCGAAGGCUUACUUUU